This 497-nucleotide ribosomal RNA is filed under the name uncultured bacterium. RNAcentral's name for it is "partial 16S ribosomal RNA". It matches the Rfam family "Bacterial small subunit ribosomal RNA", at positions 28 to 507 of the family's 1533-position model. The record is from RNAcentral.
GAUGGACGCUGGCGGCGUGCCUAAUACAUGCAAGUCGAGCGAACAGACGAGGAGCUUGCUCCUCUGACGUUAGCGGCGGACGGGUGAGUAACACGUGGAUAACCUACCUAUAAGACUGGGAUAACUUCGGGAAACCGGAGCUAAUACCGGAUAAUAUAUUGAACCGCAUGGUUCAAUAGUGAAAGACGGUUUUGCUGUCACUUAUAGAUGGAUCCGCGCCGCAUUAGCUAGUUGGUAAGGUAACGGCUUACCAAGGCAACGAUGCGUAGCCGACCUGAGAGGGUGAUCGGCCACACUGGAACUGAGACACGGUCCAGACUCCUACGGGAGGCAGCAGUAGGGAAUCUUCCGCAAUGGGCGAAAGCCUGACGGAGCAACGCCGCGUGAGUGAUGAAGGUCUUCGGAUCGUAAACCUCUGUUAUUAGGGAAGAACAAAUGUGUAAGUAACUAUGCACGUCUUGACGGUACCUAAUCAGAAAGCAACGGCUAACUACGUG